UUCGGUGGAGGAACCAGACUGGAUGUUGGAAGUGAUGCCCCUCCCACCCUGACGGUGCUGCCCCCCUCCAGUGAGCAGCUGCAGCAGGGGACGGCCACGCUCAUGUGCCUGGCCACCAAGGGCUUCCCCUCAGACUGGAGUCUGUCCUGGAAGGUGGACGGCAGCAGCAGCAGCAGCAGCUGGGAGCAGAGCAGCAGCCCCAGGGUGCUGGAGAAGGACGGCCACUACAGCUGGAGCAGCACCCUGAGGCUCUCUGCAGACCAGUGGAGGAAGGUGGGCUCUGUGACCUGUGAGGCCACCCAGGGCUCCCAGACUCCGCUCUCAGAGACUCUGAGGAGAGACCAGUGUUCCCAGUCCUGAUCUGACUCACUGCUUUUACUCUGCUACUGCUCUCAGUCUGCUCUCUUUCUCUGGUUCUCUCAUGAUGUUUCAACAUUAUCUUGUUCUUGCUUGUGUUGAUAGUUUUAACAUUUUCAAAC
Non-coding RNA from Centropristis striata (black sea bass), 479 nucleotides. The record is from the annotation of a RefSeq genome assembly. NCBI's taxonomy places the organism in Eukaryota, Metazoa, Chordata, Actinopteri, Perciformes, Serranidae.